Small nuclear RNA from Zingiber officinale, 189 nucleotides. RefSeq annotates it as U2 spliceosomal RNA. The transcript has a single exon. The record is from RefSeq and is a predicted model, not a curated record. NCBI's taxonomy places the organism in Eukaryota, Viridiplantae, Streptophyta, Magnoliopsida, Zingiberales, Zingiberaceae.
CUCUCAUUUUCUAAAAUCAAGUGUAGUAUCUGUUCUUAUUAAUUUAAUAUGUGAUAUGUGAGCCAUCGGUCUAUUAUGACAUUAAAUAUACUUUUUACUGGGAGAGGGUUCACCACAGUAGUUUGCUAUUGGAACCCUUAUGUGUGUUGCCCUUGCGUUACACCAUAGUAUAGGUUUGAUGCAUCUAAC